GGUUAAGUGAAUAAGGGCGCACGGUGGAUGCCUUGGCACUAGGAGCCGAUGAAGGACGGGACUAACACCGAUAUGCUUUGGGGAGCUGUAAGUAAGCUAUGAUCCAGAGAUUUCCGAAUGGGGGAACCCAGCAUCUUUUAUAGGAUGUUACUUUUCAGUGAAUACAUAGCUGAUUAGAGGUAGACGCAGAGAACUGAAACAUCUAAGUACCUGCAGGAAGAGAAAGAAAAUUCGAUUCCCUGAGUAGCGGCGAGCGAAACGGGAAAAGCCCAAACCAAGAUGCUUGCAUCUUGGGGUUGUAGGACUCCAAUAUGGUAGUACGAUCAGAUAGUCGAAUGACUUGGAAAAGUCAGUCAAAGAGGGUAAAAACCCCGUAGAUGAAAUUUGGUAUGCACCUAGGAGGAUCCUGAGUACGGCGGAACACGAGAAAUUCCGUCGGAAUCCGGGAGGACCAUCUCCCAAGGCUAAAUACUCCCUAGUGACCGAUAGUGAACCAGUACCGUGAGGGAAAGGUGAAAAGCACCCCGGAAGGGGAGUGAAAUAGAUCCUGAAACCGUGUGCCUACAACAAGUCAAAGCCCGUUAAUGGGUGAUGGCGUGCCUUUUGUAGAAUGAACCGGCGAGUUACGAUUGCAUGCGAGGUUAAGCUGAAGAGGCGGAGCCGUAGCGAAAGCGAGUCUGAAUAGGGCGUUUUAGUAUGUAGUCGUAGACCCGAAACCAUGUGAUCUACCCAUGUCCAGGUUGAAGGUGCGGUAAAACGCACUGGAGGACCGAACCCACGUACGUUGAAAAGUGCGGGGAUGAGGUGUGGGUAGCGGAGAAAUUCCAAUCGAACUUGGAGAUAGCUGGUUCUCUCCGAAAUAGCUUUAGGGCUAGCCUCGGAUUUAAGAAUGAUGGAGGUAGAGCACUGUUUGGACUAGGGGCCCAUCUCGGGUUACCGAAUUCAGAUAAACUCCGAAUGCCAUUCAUUUAUAUCCGGGAGUCAGACUGUGAGUGAUAAGAUCCAUAGUCGAAAGGGAAACAGCCCAGACCACCAGCUAAGGUCCCAAAAUAUAUGUUAAGUGGAAAAGGAUGUGGGGUUGCACAGACAACUAGGAUGUUGGCUCAGAAGCAGCCACCAUUUAAAGAGUGCGUAAUAGCUCACUAGUCGAGUGACCCUGCGCCGAAAAUGUACCGGGGCUAAACAUAUUACCGAAGCUGUGGAGUGUACCUUUGGUACACUGGUAGGAGAGCGUUCUAAGGGCGUUGAAGGUAGACCGUGAGGACUACUGGAGCGCUUAGAAGUGAGAAUGCCGGUAUGAGUAGCGAAAGACAGGUGAGAAUCCUGUCCACCGAAUGACUAAGGUUUCCUGGGGAAGGCUCGUCCGCCCAGGGUUAGUCGGGACCUAAGCCGAGGCCGACAGGCGUAGGCGAUGGACAACAGGUUGAUAUUCCUGUACUCGUUGUUUUUGUUUGAGCAAUGGAGGGACGCAGGAGGCUAAGGAAUGCAGACGAUCGGAAAUGUCUGUCCAAGCAACAAGUCUUAGUGAGAGUCAAAUGCUUUCACUUUCAAGGACAAGUUGUGAUGGGGAGGGAAAUAAUAGUACCGAAGUUCCUGAUGUCACACUGCCAAGAAAAGCUUCUAGUG
Ribosomal RNA from Enterococcus sulfureus ATCC 49903, 1626 nucleotides. It matches the Rfam family "Bacterial large subunit ribosomal RNA", at positions 1 to 1627 of the family's 2925-position model. The record is from Rfam. NCBI's taxonomy places the organism in Bacteria, Bacillati, Bacillota, Bacilli, Lactobacillales, Enterococcaceae.